This 892-nucleotide small RNA is filed under the name Pongo abelii (Sumatran orangutan). Its description in RNAcentral is "processed transcript". The record is from RNAcentral. Lineage: Eukaryota; Metazoa; Chordata; Mammalia; Primates; Hominidae.
AGGUGCAGGCUGGGGGCAGAGGAGAGGGAAGGGGAUUAGGUGCUGGGGCCGGGGAACCGAGACCCAGGGUGUCACCGCUGACAGCAGCGGGGCCCGCAGAGCUGCAGGGAGACGGAGCCGCGCCCCCGCGGCGCCGACACUGCCAUCUGGCUAGAGGGCCCCACUCUUUCUUUAACCAGAGGUCACAGCCUCAUUGCCUACCCAGGAGGCAGCCCCGAGACGCCCCCUGCGGCCUGGGUUUUCUCCACCCUGUCCCCGCGCCCACCCCAGCUCUGCCAUCCCCGGCUGCACCGCUUUGUAAAGGGGACGGCUGGUCAGACCGAAUCUGGGUCGGGCCUGGAGACUGGAUCUGGGGCUUCCGGAGAGUCCCAGGCUCCCCGCGCGCCCAUCCACCCGCCGACGCCUGAGCAUUUAUGGUGAGGGGAAACUGAGUCCCAGGGUAGGUUCCAGAGUGAAGAGGGAAGAAACAUGAUUCUCAAGGCCCAGGUCUGGACAAGUGUGAACACCUUGAGCUUGUGAAUUCAGCCCCCUCCUUCCUUUCUCUGGUCAAAGGCUAGACUUGCAGGAGCUUGGGUUUGAAGGGACAGCCCAGAAGGCAUCGUCUCCACUCCCCAUAUAGGUGUGCCCGGAGAGGCUGAGCAGCCUGCGCCUGAGCUGGUGGAGGUUGAAGUGGGCAGCACAGCCCUUCUGAAGUGCGGCCUCUCCCAGUCCCAAGGCGACCUCAGCCAUGUCGACUGGUUUUCUGUCCACAAGGAGAAGCGGACGCUCAUCUUCCGUGUGCGGCAGGGCCAGGGCCAGAGCGAACGUGGGGAGUACGAGCAGCGGCUCAGCCUCCAGGACAGAGGGGCUACUCUGGCCCUGACUCAAGUCACCCCCCACGACGAGCGCAUCU